RNAcentral lists this ribosomal RNA (486 nucleotides) under uncultured bacterium. RNAcentral's name for it is "partial 16S ribosomal RNA". It matches the Rfam family "Bacterial small subunit ribosomal RNA", at positions 30 to 507 of the family's 1533-position model. The record is from RNAcentral.
AUUGAACGCUGGCGACAUGCCUUACACAUGCAAGUCGAACGGCAGCACGGGUGCUUGCACCUGGUGGCGAGUGGCGAACGGGUGAGUAAUACAUCGGAACAUGUCCUGUAGUGGGGGAUAGCCCGGCGAAAGCCGGAUUAAUACCGCAUACGAUCUACGGAUGAAAGCGGGGGACCUUCGGGCCUCGCGCUAUAGGGUUGGCCGAUGGCUGAUUAGCUAGUUGGUGGGGUAAAGGCCUACCAAGGCGACGAUCAGUAGCUGGUCUGAGAGGACGACCAGCCGCACUGGGACUGAGACACGGCCCAGACUCCUACGGGAGGCAGCAGUGGGGAAUUUUGGACAAUGGGCGAAAGCCUGAUCCAGCAAUGCCGCGUGUGUGAAGAAGGCCUUCGGGUUGUAAAGCACUUUUGUCCGGAAAGAAAUCCUUGGCCCUAAUACGGUCGGGGGAUGACGGUACCGGAAGAAUAAGCACCGGCUAACUACGUG